GCCGAAGUGGUGGAACUGGUAGACACGCUGUCUUGAGGGGGCAGUGGAGCAAUCCGUGCGGGUUCGAGUCCCGCCUUCGGCACCA
Molecule: transfer RNA, 85 nt
Filed under: Gammaproteobacteria bacterium
Lineage: Bacteria; Pseudomonadati; Pseudomonadota; Gammaproteobacteria
Description: tRNA-Leu
Rfam family: tRNA
About the family: Transfer RNA (tRNA) molecules are approximately 80 nucleotides in length. Their secondary structure includes four short double-helical elements and three loops (D, anti-codon, and T loops). Further hydrogen bonds mediate the characteristic L-shaped molecular structure. tRNAs have two regions of fundamental functional importance: the anti-codon, which is responsible for specific mRNA codon recognition, and the 3' end, to which the tRNAs corresponding amino acid is attached (by aminoacyl-tRNA synthetases). tRNAs cope with the degeneracy of the genetic code in two manners: having more than one tRNA (with a specific anti-codon) for a particular amino acid; and 'wobble' base-pairing, i.e. permitting non-standard base-pairing at the 3rd anti-codon position.
Source: RNAcentral